UACAGAGGGUGCAAGCGUUGUUCGGAAUUACUGGGCGUAAAGCGCGUGUAGGCGGUCUCGCAAGUCGGGUGUGAAAGCCCUUGGCUCAACCAAGGAACUGCAUUCGAAACUACGAGACUAGAGUAUCGGAGGGGGUGGCGGAAUUCCCGGUGUAGAGGUGAAAUUCGUAGAUAUCGGGAGGAACACCUGUGGCGAAGGCGGCCACCUGGAAGAUAACUGACGCUGAGACGCGAAAGCGUGGGGAGCGAACAGG
This 253-nucleotide ribosomal RNA is filed under the name uncultured bacterium. Its description in RNAcentral is "partial 16S ribosomal RNA". It matches the Rfam family "Bacterial small subunit ribosomal RNA", at positions 524 to 776 of the family's 1533-position model. The record is from RNAcentral.